This 868-nucleotide ribosomal RNA is filed under the name uncultured archaeon. Its description in RNAcentral is "bacterial SSU rRNA". It matches the Rfam family "Archaeal small subunit ribosomal RNA", at positions 1 to 878 of the family's 1478-position model. The record is from RNAcentral.
CUCCGGGUGGUCCUGCGGGACCCGACUGCUAUCAGAGUGGGACUAAGCCAUGCGAGUCAACAUAGCAAUAUGUGGCAUACGGCUCAGUAACACGUAGUCAACAUGCCCAGGGGACGUGGAUAACCUCGGGAAACUGAGGAUAAACCGCGAUAGGUCAUCACUUCUGGAAUGGGUAAUGACUUAAAUCUAUAUGGCCCCUGGAUUGGACUGCGGCCGAUCAGGCUGUUGGUGAGGUAAUGGCCCACCAAACCUGUAACCGGUACGGGCUCUGAGAGGAGGAGCCCGGAGAUGGGCACUGAGACAAGGGCCCAGGCCCUAUGGGGCGCAGCAGGCGCGAAACCUCUGCAAUAGGCGAAAGCUUGACAGGGUUACUCUGAGUGAUUUCCGUUAAGGAGAUCUUUUGGCACCUCUAAAAAUGGUGCAGAAUAAGGGGUGGGCAAGUCUGGUGUCAGCCGCCGCGGUAAUACCAGCACCCCGAGUGGUCGGGACGUUUAUUGGGCCUAAAGCAUCCGUAGCCGGUUCUACAAGUCUUCCGUUAAAUCCACCUGCUUAACAGAUGGGCUGCGGAAGAUACUAUAGAGCUAGGAGGCGGGAGAGGCAAGCGGUACUCGAUGGGUAGGGGUAAAAUCCGUUGAUCCAUUGAAGACCACCAGUGGCGAAGGCGGCUUGCCAGAACGCGCUCGACGGUGAGGGAUGAAAGCUGGGGGAGCAAACCGGAUUAGAUACCCGGGUAGUCCCAGCUGUAAACGAUGCAGACUCGGUGAUGAGUUGGCUUAUUGUUAACUCAGUGCCGCAGGGAAGCCGUUAAGUUUGCCGCCUGGGGAGUACGGUCGCAAGACUGGAACUUAAAGGAAUUGGCGGGGGAGCA